GAGUGAAGAGGGAAGAGCUCAUCAUUGGAAUCUGGCGGUGUUGCACCGUCCGAGUUGUAGAUGAGGAGUGGUUCGUCUGGACUGCAUGGCGUCCAAGUACAAUAGGCCGUCAGUGGGACAUCAUAGAGGGUGACAAUCCCGUCCUUGAUGCCAAUGUGCAAGUCCAUUACGAUGGCCAUCUCAGAGAGUCGAGCAGUUUGGGAUUUGCUGCUUAAACAUGGGAGGUAGAUUCCUUCUAAAGCUAAAUACAGGCAAGAGACCGAUAGAGAACAAGUACCGCAAGGGAAAGAUGAAAUAGCACUCUGUGAAGGGAGUCAAAAGGCGUGAAAUUGUUGCGAGAGAAGCGAUUCAAGUCAGCGUAGCUAGGCCCAUUAAGCCUCUUUGCGCUUUGGACUAGCUUUGCCAGCGGUCUUGUCCUUAGAGACUUGACUUGUAUGUCCAGCCUGGUAUGCACAGGUAGCCCUCCGGGGUCAGUGACAUGGCUGGUGGAAUGGCUUGCAAUCGACCCGUCUUGAAACACGGACCAAGGAGUCUAACAUGUAUGCGAGUAUAAGGGUGGCAAACCCGUAUGCGCAAUGAAAGUGAUUUUCGGUGAUUGAGAAUGGCCUGAUGACCAGACAAGCAAUAUAUGUCCCUCGUACGGCCAUUGCCCAAGUUCCGUGGUAGAUCCCACGAACAUGGAGUUGGAGCAUACAUGCUAGGACCCGAAAGAUGGUGAACUAUGCCUGGACAAAGCGAAGCCAAAGGAAACUCUGGUGGAGGCUUGUAGCGAUUCUGACGUGCAAAUCGAUCGUCUGAUCUG
RNAcentral lists this ribosomal RNA (802 nucleotides) under Cantharellus ferruginascens. Its description in RNAcentral is "eukaryotic LSU rRNA". It matches the Rfam family "Eukaryotic large subunit ribosomal RNA", at positions 91 to 913 of the family's 3401-position model. The record is from RNAcentral. Lineage: Eukaryota; Fungi; Basidiomycota; Agaricomycetes; Cantharellales; Hydnaceae.